Molecule: ribosomal RNA, 253 nt
Filed under: uncultured bacterium
Lineage: Bacteria
Description: partial 16S ribosomal RNA
Rfam family: Bacterial small subunit ribosomal RNA
Source: RNAcentral
AACGUAGGAGACAAACGUUAUCCGGAUUUACUGGGCGUAAAGGGCGUGUAGGUGGUUUCGUAAGUCUGGCGUGAAAUAUCUCGGCUUAACCGAGGCAGGUCGUCGGAUACUGCGGAACUAGAGGACGGUAGAGGCGUGUGGAAUUCCGGGUGUAGUGGUGAAAUGCGUAGAGAUCCGGAGGAACACCAGUGGCGAAGGCGACACGCUGGGCCGUACCUGACACUGAUGCGCGACAGCAUGGGGAGCAAACAGG